Molecule: RNA transcript, 2950 nt
Organism: Ziziphus jujuba (common jujube)
Lineage: Eukaryota; Viridiplantae; Streptophyta; Magnoliopsida; Rosales; Rhamnaceae
Gene name: F-box protein SKIP16
Exons: 5
Source: RefSeq, a predicted model, not a curated record
GUACAGACGAGUUCGGUUUGAGCUGGGAGUACAAACGCCGAGUAGAAAACACUGGAAACGCAAAGAAGAAGGCGAGGGAGGGAGGGAGCGAGGGAGCGAUCGAGCGAGCAACGUAGUUGACCAAAAAUUCUUGUUCGAACUCAGAGAGCUUUCGAAAACAACAAACAAUUAAAGAGAAAAUGGCUUUGGAAUCUGUUGGGGAUUUGGCUCUGAACUUGAUUCUAAGCAAAUUAGAACCCGAAGACACUGCCAAAUCCUCCUGCGUUAGCAAGAAAUUGAGGUCGUCUGCCUCCGAAGAGACUCUCUGGUCUCGUUUCUGUGCAGAUGAACUCGGCCUCUCCCAACCCAUCGAUCCUCUCGGCAAUCCCACGCCUUCCUUCAAGAUAUGUUAUCAAAUAUGGCGCAAAGAGUUUUGUAUAUAUCCUUGGUCACUUGUGAAGCGAGUUAGAAGAUGUUGGGACAGACUUAGAAGUUGGUUGGCGGUAAAUUUUCCAGAGGCUGGAGCUACACUUAGAAAAGGUGCUACAGAAGAUGAUAUAAAGGAGUUGGAGAAUGCAUUGAAAGUGAAACUGCCACUUCCUACAAGGGUUCUUUAUCGUUUUGUUGAUGGUCAAGAAUUUCAUGGGAAAGAUUACAUAACAAGUGUUUUUGGAUGUCCACUGGGUCUCAUAGGUGGUUAUAUUUUUUAUGACCAAUGUGUAAAUGUGUAUAUGCUACCUUUACGUCAAGUUAUUUUGGAAACAAGGGAGAUCCGACGUGAACUUCAUUUUCCUGGCAAAUCAAAGUAUGUCGCUGUUGCUUGUUCUUCCACAGUUGAUGAGAAGUUCUUUUUCCUAAACUGUUUCAAUGGUCAACUCUAUGUUGGUACACAAAACCUUCCACAUUAUGGAGAAAUGAUUCCAUGUGUCCCAGAUGAAUUAAUAAGGUCAGUACAUGAUUGUAAUGGUGACCAACAGCAAGAUGCUACGUUGCUGUGGUUAGAAGAACAUGUUCGUCGCUUAGAAAGUGGAAUUAUCAAACUUUGUGAAUAUGGAAAUAUUAAAUGUAUCAGUCUCUUUCCGGAGGAAACUCCCCUCUGUUCAACUGCUAUAACCAAUGGUGUAAAGGUUCGUGCCUCUGCUGUUUUUGUACCAGAGAAUGCCAACCUUAAAAAUGACCAGGAAAAGUAUCUGUUUGCAUAUUUAAUCCGUAUGUCCCUUCUUCCUGAAGGAUGCAUCGUCAAUGGAAUGUCAUUCAGCUCUUGCCAACUUCAUUGGAGACACUGGAUCAUCCGUGCUAAUGACACUGUAACAUCUGAUGUUAAUGCAGAAGCUGUAAUUGGAAAGAGUUGCUAGGGAUUUAACCGCAAAAACAAGGAAAUUUGAGACCCAUAUAGAUUUAACUCUAUCUGUCAUGACUAAAUUGUUUCCUGAAUCCAAAUGUAGUGUUAUCUACUGGUAGUUACUCCUAUCUUUCAUUAUUUCUUUCUUACUUCAUUAUUAUCUUGAACUAGUGGUGCCUCUAAUAGUAUUACUCUUCUGUGAAAAUCUGUGAAUUUAUCAAAUGAUGAGAUUGAAAACUCAAUAAUAGAGGACACGUGAAAGUCCUUGAACUAGCUCCCAUCUUAGAUUGAAUAAAGUGAUUGAGAUACUGAGUUCCCUGGAAAAUUAGAAAUAGAUAAUCGAGUGAUUCAUGGAAUUGACCAAAAUGGUAGCCAAAAUCCUAAGUGAACUGACUGAUGGAAAAAUUGAGAGUCAUAUGACAGUCUUCAUAAAAGCUUCUUUUUCCAGAUUUAUCAAUUUCCUUGACUAACUUGAACAUCAUGUUUCUCUGACAUGAGUGAAUUUAGGAAGCAUCGAGUCAUUAAGGUCUUGAUUCAUUGUGACGUUUAGGAUCUAAUUGAACAAUUUGCUUGGUUUGGUAGGUAGUCAGUCCAAGGCAAUGUAUUUUGGAGGAUGUAAUGCAAGUUGCUUCUUUUAUUGUCUUGUUUCUCAUAAUUCUACUAAUCUCAACUUUUUUAGUAAUGCAUUGCUGUUAAAAAGCUAUUAGGACAUGGCUUUCAAGAAAUAAACAAUGCCAGAGUAAGACAACUUAGUAUGUCCUCACUUUAAAAAUCUAAAAAGGCACAAAAAAAUUAUAGAAAUAAUUUUAUUUUUUUUUAAUCCUUUGCUUUUCUCUAAUCAAAAUGCUGCAGGUGAAAAAUGUAAUACAAAAAUGAUGAUCAAGUUUGUAGUUUUGACAUUAUUACAAGUUGAACUUCUGUGAGUUAACAAUCUUAUGGAUGACAGGAAUUAUAAAUGUAAUUUGAGUUCUAUUACAUAAACUCUUAACUCGUUACUGACCUGAGCUUGGUAAUAUUUUAGACCAGCUGUAGCUAUGAUGUUUGUUAACUCAAACAAGUAGAAGCCUGUGUCAAUGUAUGUGAUCAUUUUCCUUUAUAAUUUGCUACUGUAUGCAUACAUAAGUGCAGUAUGCACAAAAAAGUUUUCUCUCGCAUCUAAAGCAAAAGCUAAAAGAUAGUUGGUGGUCUGAUCAAGUGAUAACCUUUAAUUUAGGUUUUUGUGAUUAUUAUUUCUAGUUAUGUAUUUUGUUCAUGGAAAUCAAUGUGUCCCUGCUCCUUCCCUUUUCUUUUCCAUGUGUAAAUUAGACAUCACUCAACAGAUAACCAUCUCUUUCCUUAAAAUUCUUUGUGAGAUGAUCUCCACUUUAUAAAGAGGGAUGAGGAACCAUUUGGCUAUAAACAUAACAAAAUGGUUCCCUUGCUGCGGGUCAGUUUUUGCCUUCCCUAAUUUCCUUGAAGCUCAUUGAUAUUGAAGAUUGAGUUUAGACCUCCCCAAGAAAAGUAAAGUCUGGCUAGAUUUUGGUUUCCACUCUUGAAACCAGGCGAAGAGGAAUUUGUUUAUGAGAGUUGCACGCCUCUAACAUCUUCAACUGGUUCUGUUGAAGGUUCUUUCACAUUUGUGCCUGGCAG